GGGGCCAUAGCUCAGCUGGGAGAGCACCUGCUUUGCAAGCAGGGGGUCGACGGUUCGAUCCCGUCUGGCUCCACCA
This 76-nucleotide transfer RNA is filed under the name Cycloclasticus pugetii. Its description in RNAcentral is "tRNA-Ala". It matches the Rfam family "tRNA". From Rfam's summary of the family: Transfer RNA (tRNA) molecules are approximately 80 nucleotides in length. The record is from RNAcentral. RNAcentral also lists the same sequence under 11 other names. Lineage: Bacteria; Pseudomonadati; Pseudomonadota; Gammaproteobacteria; Thiotrichales; Piscirickettsiaceae.